UUACUGGUGGAGCCUAUUUUCAUUAGAUGUUGUUUUAUUAAGGCUCCUUCUAGCUAAUCUUGUUUAGCUUAAAUGGGUAUUUCUUGUAAAAUCCAAGCAAACUAACAGAUCGAUUUCUGACACUUCACAUGUCUCAUUGAUUGAUAAAUAAGGGUUUCCUAGUUCCUUAUGGACUUUAUUUUCAUUGACUGAUUUCGGCUUUUUUCUAACCAUCCUUUGAUUGAUUUGUAGGACUAUCACUCAAGUCCCAGGA
This 253-nucleotide unclassified non-coding RNA is filed under the name Hevea brasiliensis (rubber tree). The record is from RNAcentral. Lineage: Eukaryota; Viridiplantae; Streptophyta; Magnoliopsida; Malpighiales; Euphorbiaceae.